CUUUGCAGGACAGGAUUGAGCAGACCUGGGCUACAGUAAUAUUUCAGCUACGGUGGCUGCUCUGGAGUCCGUUUCCGCAGGACGUGGCCUCAUCACUACAGCCGGUUCUUUGGGUGAACUCAACAUCUCAUCCAACUUCUCUAGAAGCUGGCUGACUGACCUUUGACCCUCUCUCCUCGGUUGAGUGUGAUCUCACCCUCGCCCUGUGGAUUGUGGGAGCU
This is a long non-coding RNA of Sinocyclocheilus anshuiensis, 221 nucleotides long. RefSeq lists it as uncharacterized. NCBI's taxonomy places the organism in Eukaryota, Metazoa, Chordata, Actinopteri, Cypriniformes, Cyprinidae. The record is from RefSeq and is a predicted model, not a curated record. The transcript has 3 exons.